AAAUGAAGCCUUCUCUGAACCAGUCCCAAGAAGUCUCAACUUUAAAGCAUUAACUCCCCCAAUGAACUUGCUUUCAUUUCAUCUUCUCAUAUGUCAUUGCAUUCUCAACAAACCAGAUCUAUAGGAUGGAUCAGUCGAAGCUUACAAAGAAAUCUAAUUAGGUAUGGAAUAUGAACUUUUUAUUUGAUAAAUAACUUAGCUGGAGAUACAUUGAGAGUUACUCUAUUAGAAUAAAA
Molecule: long non-coding RNA, 236 nt
Filed under: Homo sapiens (human)
Lineage: Eukaryota; Metazoa; Chordata; Mammalia; Primates; Hominidae
Description: HSALNT0162031
Source: RNAcentral